UUUUUUUCCUCCCUUAUAGUCUGUUAAAUUGACUAAUAAACUCAACACAGCGUUCUCUGUGCGGCUUCAAAAAACUCAGUAAUUUCGUUAGAAAACGUUGAAACCCAACUCUAAAGUAUUCAGCCCAAAUGUUUAGUUAAAGUAACCCCGUGGGUUAAUAAACUAAACAAAGGCAACCCAUGCAAAACCGGAGCAAUGAAAACCAGGCUACAUAAACGAAGGGAAGUUUAUAAGAACUCUUUCGGAGGAAAAAAAGAGAAAAGGCACCGGGCACGGAGGUUUAAUGUGAAGCAUGUGAGCGGGGCUCAGUUUACAGCUUCCAUGAGAACUUCUUCCCAGAACUUCUACAAAUCCUGGGUGCGCAGAAACCAGGCCCUGGACGCUGGUCCUCCUUGCCUUCAGAUCCUGAUGGAGGUUGGAGGGGGUUGCACUGGAGCCCCGUGGAUGAAGAGUUCUAGGCCUGAACACAGAGUCCCGAAAGAUUUUGGAAGCACCCUGGAGACAGAAAUCCCACAGGUAGAGGCUAGUGACUCUUUUCAGUAGCACCUACUUUCCCAAGUGGGCUUUGCCAGGCCAGAGUGUGCUGGAGAGGGAGAGGGCGUGCAAUUCCUGAUUAGGGACUUAUCUUUAAACGGCUGGUUUUUGUGAGCUUGGCAUCACCAGCAUUCCCUCCAAGGAUAGCCUCUGCUCACCUUAAAUAUUUCAUAGCAGGUGCCCUGGGUGAGGGGGUUGGAAUGCCAGUGUCUGGCCCAUAAACGUCUCACAUAUAAAGUUAUACGCUCCCAUUUCAACUGCAGCACAGAGGGGGAUCCCGGUGCAAGAGGACACUCCAGCUUUUGGCUCAAGCAGAAAAUUAUGAUUGAACGAAGAAGCUGCGAUGUUUAAAUUCACCCACAAUCUGGAAGAUGUUUUGCCCAGGAACUCAGACGUGAGGUAUUGGGAGAAAGUGACACUAAGAAUCUUUCCUUGCCUUCACUUGGGCCUCAUGAUCGCUCCCAACCCUGCCCAGUCGCCCCACCAGCAUGAGGCAAAUAACUGUCUUUAGCUCCGAACAUUAAUAUUAAGACAUCAGCAUCGCAUUAGUCUGCAGUGGACCAUCAACGAUCAAGAAAAAAAUACAAAAGAGAAAUGAAAUAGUUCAUCCGAAAAGUCCUACUGUCAUCGUGUUUAUUUUUUGCUUUGCUAAGCCCAGGAUAUAAUUUACUCACUGCUCUCUUGCAAACAAAAGGGUCGUGCUAGCCUGACACGGAUGAAAAGCCCCUCUCAAAAUCCCCAAGGAAAUUACAACUGGGCAGGAAUUCAGGAGCCGUUUUUAUACCAAGCCUGAAGCACCAACUUGCACAGUGCCUUCCCAGGAUGAACACUGAAGAGGCCAAGAUUUUAAAAAGGAAGGAAGGAAGGAGAAUCUUGAGGAGUAAUAAUAAUAAGUAUCAUUUAUCUGCCUCCUACUUAAUACAAGCAAUUUACCUACCUUACUUCAUUUCAUACUUACAGCAAAGCUGUAGGGUUGGCUGGGCAUGGUGGCUCUAGCCUGUAAUUCCAGCACUUUGGGAGGCCAAGGCGGAUCAUUUGAGGUCAGGAGCUUCAGACCAGCUUGACCAAUAUGGUGAAACCCCGUCUCUACUAUUUAAAAAAAAAAAAAAAUCUGUAAGGUAAAUAUUGUAAUACCGACACCUACUUUAUUGAUAAUAUAAAAUACUUAUACGAUAGUUAUUAUAUGCCUAGCACUAUGGUGUUUUACAUUCAUUUAUACCUUACAACAUCGCCAUAUAGGGAGGAAUAUUAUCCCCAUUUUACAGAAGAAAAACUGAAGCACACAGAGAUGAUCUAAUCUGUCUCAGGUCACGUGGCCAUAAAUGGCCAGGGAUGGAUUGGAAUCCAGACUUGUGAUAUCUUGAGACACUAUACCAUCAAAGUAAGUGACGGGCUGGGAGAAGUUGGGGCUUAUCUGAGGUUCCAGGGAGGACGCCAAGGAGCCGGGACUGGAGCCGGUAUCUUGUGAGUAGGGAUUGUGGUGCGCCGCCUGUACGCAAGGAGCCACCCGCCGCAAUGCAGAAGGGCGGCGAGUCGCCCUCGGGGCCCACAGCGCCGUCGGGCAAAGAACCAGAGGCGUGCAGCGAGUGCAGCGCCCGGGAGUCAGGGCUGUUAGUGGCGUGACCCGCCGGGUAUUGACCUAUUUUCUCCACCGCCUGGUCCCCCGCGGCCUAGGCCCGGUGUUUAGUUUUGCAGAUAUGUCAAAGGGAACAUUCAGGACGGGUGGGCUCCUGGGAGCCCGCCCCGACCCUCCGGAGCACUAGGAGGCGCGGGGCCUCUGAGAUCCGGCCUGCCAGAUUGAGACGGGAGAGGAGGGGGCCUGGUCCAGCAGCUGGACAGCCGGGCAGUGCUCGCAGCCCGCGGGUGGGCGCCCAGCUGCCUUUGCACGGAUGAGGGGCGCAGCCUGCAUUUCCCUCCUGGACCGGGACCGCCGAGCGCGUCCCGGCGGGCCUCAGAGUGAGCUUCUCGUGGAUGUGCUGCGCGCACCCCAGGGAGAUGUGCGGCGUCCGCGCGGGUCAGCGGCCAAGUACCACUCCCCAGAGCACGCUUCCCUUGCGCGGCGAGUUAGAACUCAGGUCAGAACGGAGCUGAGCGGUUGGCGGAGUGGAGAAAGGUCCCGGAAAUUGGCCAGGAGGGGGCGGUUUCGAGGUAGUGCCUUCAAAGUGUUGUCAAGACCAGCAGGGAGGGUCGCCUCCACCUGCGGGACCUCCUCCAACUCCACAAGGUAGCUCGAUCUGCCCGACAUAGAUAGGGGUCUGAGACCACUGCUCCCACUGAAUGGCGCCGCCUGCGGGCUGGCCCGGGCUCUGUGCAGCGGCUUUGUCUCAUUUUCUUCUCACCGUUAAUAACUGGCAAGGCAGUGUGAUCACCCUACUUAAGAGAAGACAUCUUGUUCUAAUCGCUUAGCACAGCGCCCAGUACUUCUAGGGGAGUAACGCAUGCCAGUUCCUCCCAUUUUAUAGGAGGAAGGCGCCGAGAGGGUAAACAGUCUCAAUAGAUACAACCAGUAGGUGCCCGAGUGUCCACUGGAAUGGGUCUGCGAACAGUCACCUGAUGUCUGGACCCCUUUUACUUCCCCCACUGACCUUUGGGAGACCAGUGUUUCAGAGAAACUCGGGGUGGGAGCUGUGGGUAGAACUGGGAGGAUGGAGGGGGAGGAAAGUCCUUCCCAGAAAAUCGGAAAGGCAGAAGGUCCAUUAGAGGGCUGUGAAGUUCUAGUUGGGCAGGGAGCUUUGAAUCAUUACUAUAAUCAAAUGAGAAGCACUUGAGUGCCGACCACUUGUCCAGUGCUGUGCUGGGCCCUUUACAGAUAAGCUGUGUUUUCCAUCUUGGCUGCACGUGGGGAAUGUUUGGGGAAUUUUAAAAAUCUGAUGCCCAGAGCAAUUAAAUCAUCAUUUCUAGGAGUAGGACCAAAGCAUCAGUUUUUAAAGCUUCCCAAGUAAUUCCAAUGUACAACCAUGCUUGAGGACUUCUGCCUUGGGGAAAUUAUCUUAAUCCUCACAACUCCUCCACAUAGCAGUUACCAUUAUGAUGCCCAUUUCAUCAGUAAGAAAAGCAAGCCUUAGAGAGGACUUGUAUUUGGUCCGAGUCAGCCCAGAGAGAAGCACAGGUUAAUCUGGCAUGACACAGCAGACAUCCAGCCUGUCUGGGCUGAGUCCCCUUCUAACUUUCACCCCCAGAAGUUUACUGUGCUGGAAAGACACCCUGAGGUCAUAGCAGGAAGAGGCAGGAAGGCUUCUGAAGUUUCACAGCUUCAGGCAGAGAGCUAUAUUCAGGGUCUUGAGUAGAGAGGGAGGCAGGAUGGGAAGAAGGGGAAAGUAAUAGCUUUGAUUUUCUUUGGGAAAAAGUAGGUUAGGUUCCCAGAUGACCCUGCAUUCCAGAGGGCCCUGCCUGGGUCUAUUACUUGAAAAGGUGGCAUGUGAUGACUCAAGCCCAGCCACAUGGAUGAAGACUCAUCCCUUAGGAAGCCUGGAGUAGUGAAAUGAACAUUGGACUAGGAGUCAGGAAAUUGAAAGCCUAUCCUAGCUGAGCCAUUGGCUGGCAGCAUCACCUCGAGCAAGUCAUAACCUCUGGGCCUGUUUUCUCUCCUGUAAAAUAAAGUGGUUGGAUAGCAUUAUCUCUAAGGUUGCUUCCUGCUCAUACAUUUUAUGGUUAUUUCCAGCCCUGGUGUGAAUAAACUUAAGUCUGGAUUCAAGUUGGAAAUACAAAUGACAAUAGUUUAGCAUCUUCAUGAUCUCAAUUGCUUUUCAGACCUUCCCUAAAAGAAGGACUUGCUAGUUCCAUUUUCAUAAUUAGGGAAACUGAGGCUCCAAGUUAUUCUGAUUCUCCUAGUAGAUUCUACUUCUACUCCUGGUAACGUGUCUCCUUUCAACCCAUCUGUUCAGGUCUUAUAGGUCAUUCUGUGGUUGGAGAACCUCGGGGCAUUCGGAGAAGUAGGGCGCUGGACAGAACAGGGCAGACAGCUCAAGGCCUUAAAAACACCCUAAAUAAGCUGCAGAAUUUAAGCAAGGUCAGGGCAAAUUUUGUCUGUGGGAAGGGAGUUGGCGG
Papio anubis (olive baboon) is the source of this 4581-nucleotide long non-coding RNA. The record is from Ensembl. NCBI's taxonomy places the organism in Eukaryota, Metazoa, Chordata, Mammalia, Primates, Cercopithecidae.